This 497-nucleotide ribosomal RNA is filed under the name uncultured bacterium. RNAcentral's name for it is "partial 16S ribosomal RNA". It matches the Rfam family "Bacterial small subunit ribosomal RNA", at positions 28 to 507 of the family's 1533-position model. The record is from RNAcentral.
GAUGAACGCUGGCGGCGUGCCUAAUACAUGCAAGUCGAGCGAACAGAUGAGGAGCUUGCUCCUCUGACGUUAGCGGCGGACGGGUGAGUAACACGUGGAUAACCUACCUAUAAGACUGGGAUAACUUCGGGAAACCGGAGCUAAUACCGGAUAAUAUAUUGAACCGCAUGGUUCAAUAGUGAAAGACGGUUUUGCUGUCACUUAUAGAUGGAUCCGCGCCGCAUUAGCUAGUUGGUAAGGUAACGGCUUACCAAGGCAACGAUGCGUAGCCGACCUGAGAGGGUGAUCGGCCACACUGGAGCUGAGACACGGUCCAGACUCCUACGGGAGGCAGCAGUAGGGAAUCUUCCGCAAUGGGCGAAAGCCUGACGGAGCAAGGCCGCGUGAGUGAUGAAGGUCUUCGGAUCGUAAAGCUCUGUUAUUAGGGAAGAACAAAUGUGUAAGUAACUAUGCACGUCUUGACGGUACCUACUCAGAAAGCCCCGGCUAACUACGUG